This is a long non-coding RNA of Sander lucioperca (pikeperch), 267 nucleotides long. RefSeq lists it as uncharacterized. The record is from RefSeq and is a predicted model, not a curated record. NCBI's taxonomy places the organism in Eukaryota, Metazoa, Chordata, Actinopteri, Perciformes, Percidae. The transcript is spliced from 2 exons.
UUUCUUUCGGAACUAAAGUUCUCUGUUGUGGUUUCCACUGCUGCGGAAUUUGUUAAUGGACCAAAGGAAACCUGACGUGUGCACAUGUUAUGGCGCUCUGCUAAUUAAGUCGGAGUUUCACUGUUGUCGGAGGUCAAAGUGAACUGUGAAGGAUUUCUAAAGGAUUUAAGAACCUCUUUUCAGGACAAGCAGCCAACGAGUUCUCACGGCGUGAUGUGGAUGCAUUAAGGACAGAAGAGCAAAGCAAUAAACGCCCGUUUCAAAGAA